RNAcentral lists this ribosomal RNA (120 nucleotides) under uncultured bacterium. RNAcentral describes it as "partial 16S ribosomal RNA". It matches the Rfam family "Bacterial small subunit ribosomal RNA", at positions 215 to 334 of the family's 1533-position model. The record is from RNAcentral.
GCACUAUAGGAGCGGCCGAUAUCGGAUUAGCUAGUUGGCGGGGUAAUGGCCCACCAAGGCGACGAUCCGUAGCUGGUCUGAGAGGACGACCAGCCACACUGGAACUGAGACACGGUCCAG